RNAcentral lists this ribosomal RNA (466 nucleotides) under uncultured bacterium. RNAcentral describes it as "bacterial SSU rRNA". It matches the Rfam family "Bacterial small subunit ribosomal RNA", at positions 331 to 796 of the family's 1533-position model. The record is from RNAcentral.
CCAGACUCCUACGGGAGGCAGCAGUGAGGAAUAUUGGUCAAUGGUCGGGAGACUGAACCAGCCAAGCCGCGUGAGGGAGGAAGGUACAGAGUAUCGUAAACCUCUUUUGUCAGGGGACAAAGACUGGGACGCGUCCCCGGAUGAGUGUACCUGAAGAAAAAGCAUCGGCUAACUCCGUGCCAGCAGCCGCGGUAAUACGGAGGAUGCGAGCGUUAUCCGGAUUUAUUGGGUUUAAAGGGAGCGUAGAUGGGUUGUUAAGUCAGUUGUGAGGGUUUGCGGCUCAACCGUAAAAUUGCAAUUGAUACUGGCAGUCUUGAGUACAGUUGAGGUAGGCGGAAUUCGUGGUGUAGCGGUGAAAUGCUUAGAUAUCACGAAGAACCCCGAUUGCGAAGGCAGCUUACUAAACUGUGACUGACAUUGAUGCUCGAAAGUGUGGGUAUCAAACAGGAUUAGAUACCCGCGUACC